Molecule: ribosomal RNA, 555 nt
Filed under: uncultured bacterium
Lineage: Bacteria
Description: partial 16S ribosomal RNA
Rfam family: Bacterial small subunit ribosomal RNA
Source: RNAcentral
UAGGGAAUCUUCGGCAAUGGGGGCAACCCUGACCGAGCAACGCCGCGUGAGUGAAGAAGGUUUUCGGAUCGUAAAGCUCUGUUGUAAGUCAAGAACGGGUGUGAGAGUGGAAAGUUCACACUGUGACGGUAGCUUACCAGAAAGGGACGGCUAACUACGUGCCAGUAGCCGCGGUAAUACGUAGGUCCCGAGCGUUGUCCGGAUUUAUUGGGCGUAAAGCGAGCGCAGGCGGUUUGAUAAGUCUGAAGUUAAAGGCUGUGGCUCAACCAUAGUUCGCUUUGGAAACUGUCAAACUUGAGUGCAGAAGGGGAGAGUGGAAUUCCAUGUGUAGCGGUGAAAUGCGUAGAUAUAUGGAGGAACACCGGUGGCGAAAGCGGCUCUCUGGUCUGUAACUGACGCUGAGGCUCGAAAGCGUGGGGAGCGAACAGGAUUAGAUACCCUGGUAGUCCACGCCGUAAACGAUGAGUGCUAGGUGUUGGAUCCUUUCCGGGAUUCAGUGCCGAAGCUAACGCAUUAAGCACUCCGCCUGGGGGAGUACGACCGCAAGGUUGAAAC